CAUUUAUUUUCAUUAGGAUAAAUAAAUUAUUUUUAAAAAUAGUUUUAAAUAAAAUCUUGUAACUAAAUAUAUACUUGGUAUUAGAUUACUUAGGUGUUUUACAUACUUGCAUGCAAAUUUUUCAAAAAACAGAAUUUCAGCGAAAGCAUAGAUUAAGCAAUUUAAUCUAAUGCAUCUUAGAUCUAAUCUAAAGCAUAAAACAUCUGGAUAUAGUUCUUAUGCAUGAAAUAAAAUCACAUAUAUCAGAUCUGAAAAGUAAAAAUCAGAAGAAAAAAUUGGUUAUCUGAACCGCUAUCCUUCUCCUUCC
This 307-nucleotide long non-coding RNA is filed under the name Elaeis guineensis (African oil palm). Its description in RNAcentral is "long non-coding RNA (EGUI_LNC029972)". The record is from RNAcentral. Lineage: Eukaryota; Viridiplantae; Streptophyta; Magnoliopsida; Arecales; Arecaceae.